This 31-nucleotide non-coding RNA is filed under the name Homo sapiens (human). Lineage: Eukaryota; Metazoa; Chordata; Mammalia; Primates; Hominidae. The record is from RNAcentral.
UCCNCAGUGUUAUUGUGACAUAUGCCUUUGC